GCGGCCCGCGCUCUACAGGGCUACGGACUGCAGCCAGCCGUGGCCCAGGGCGCUGCGCGGGACGCUGGUGGCCUCGCUGCCCGUGGGUCUGGACUUUGUGUGCCUGCAGGAGGUAUUCGAUCUGCGCAGGGCUCGUCGCUUGGUGAAUCGCCUGGCGCCCAACCUGGGCCCGUUGCUGUACGACGUGGGCACGCUCGGCCUACAGCCCGGGCGGCACCUCAAGCUGCUGGACAGCGGGCUGCUGCUGGCCUCGCGCUACCCGCUGCUGCGCGCCACCUUCCGUUGCUUCCCCCACGCACGUGGCGAGGACGCGCUGGCCUCCAAGGGACUACCGUCCGCACAGGCGAGGCUGGGCAGCCUGGACGGGCGCCGCAUCGUGGGAUUCCUGCACUGCACGCAUUUGCAAGUACUGGCUGAGGACGGGCCCUUGCGCAGCAAACAGCUGACGCCGCUGCUGGACUGGGCCGAGAAGUUUGGGGCCGAGAAGUUUGAGGCCGACAGAGAACAAAGUGGAGAGGUCGUGGCUUUCAGCGUGCUCCUGGGCGACCUAAACUUCGAUAACUGCUCGAAAGGUCCAGCAGGAGAGGAGGGCGAGGAGGGGCGGAGCCAGGAGGCCCGGCCCCGCCCACCGCGCGCCCGCCUCUCUCUGCAGACCACCGGCUGGAGCAGGAGCACGAGCUUUUCCGCUGUUUCCAGGAUCCCUGCCGGCUGGGCACGCGCCAAAAGCAGCCCUGGGCCCUGGGGACCGCGCUGAGCACCUCCGUGCUCCACCAGUCCGUGGCCUCCUCCCCCAAGAUGCCGAGGAGGUGAGUGGCGACCUGGAUGUAGGCACUGCCCGCCCGAAGCGCGCAGAGGGGCCCUGGCCUUGAUGACACCGUCCCCCUACCAGGACCCUGGAGCAGGAGAAAGGGCGCCACCUCUACCUGGCCGGCCUUCCCGGCAGAAGCCGCCGAGCUAAGCCCUGGAGAGGUCGGCGCCUGGACUACAUCACGUACCGCGGAGUUCCCGGGUGGCUGGGCCUGCGGCACUGGGACGACCCUCAACCUGACUCCCGCCCCCAGGAGGUGGAGCAGGUGACGUUCAGUACCGCCCUGGAGGGGCUCACGGACCACCUGGCAGUGGGCCUGCAGCUCCGAGUUUCAGUGUCCUCCUAAGGCAAGCACAGAUGAGGGGCGCGCGGCUGGCGCGCACAGACACGACUCGGAGCACGAACUAGGCGCGGUAGCCGCGUCCCCAGAACCGGGAGACUUAAGGCAUCUUUAUUGCGGGAUCCUCACACGGCCUCCUGGGCCCGGCGAUACUCAUAGACGCUGCCGUGCUCGGGAAAGGCCAGUGCUUGCGGGGGCGACCCCGGCGAUGGGGCGGGGUCCUCCGGGUCCCCAUAGCCACCGCCGCCGGGUGUGUGGAGACAGAACACAUCCUGUUGGCGCGGGGGGGGGGGGAGGCGGGCUCAGUGCAGGCGUGGCCC
This 1468-nucleotide small RNA is filed under the name Pan troglodytes (chimpanzee). RNAcentral's name for it is "processed transcript". The record is from RNAcentral. Lineage: Eukaryota; Metazoa; Chordata; Mammalia; Primates; Hominidae.